RNAcentral lists this ribosomal RNA (495 nucleotides) under uncultured bacterium. Its description in RNAcentral is "partial 16S ribosomal RNA". It matches the Rfam family "Bacterial small subunit ribosomal RNA", at positions 28 to 507 of the family's 1533-position model. The record is from RNAcentral.
GAUGAACGCUGGCGGCGUGCCUAAUACAUGCAAGUAGAACGCUGAAGGAGGAGCUUGCUCUUCUGGAUGAGUUGCGAACGGGUGAGUAACGCGUAGGUAACCUGCCUGGUAGCGGGGGAUAACUAUUGGAAACGAUAGCUAAUACCGCAUGACAACAGUUAUUGCAUGAUAACUGUUUGAAAGGGGCAACUGCUCCACUACCAGAUGGACCUGCGUUGUAUUAGCUAGUUGGUGAGGUAACGGCUCACCAAGGCGACGAUACAUAGCCGACCUGAGAGGGGGAUCGGCCACACUGGGACUGAGACACGGCCCAGACUCCUACGGGAGGCAGCAGUAGGGAAUCUUCGGCAAUGGACGGAAGUCUGACCGAGCAACGCCGCGUGAGUGAAGAAGGUUUUCGGAUCGUAAAGCUCUGUUGUAAGAGAAGAACGAGUGUGAGAGUGGAAAGUUCACACUGUGACGGUAUCUUACCAGAAAGGGACGGCUAACUACGUG